CCCACCAUCACCCUGGGUGGCUCCUCGGUCAAAUCAAUGGCGUUCUUUCGCUUUCUGGGCCCAAUCAUUGCCCAGGACCUCAAGUAGGAGCUGAACCUCGCUUACAAAGAAAGCUCAGCAGAGGAUGUACUUCCUGUGGAAGCUGAAAAGUUCAACCUGCCAAAAACGAUGAUGGUGCAUUUCGUCAGUCCUGACCUCCUCCAUCACCGUCUGGUACACUCUGCAGAGAGGGUGAUUGGCUGCAAUCUGCCGUCUCUACAAGACUUACACCCCUCCCUUGAUACAGAGGACACAAUAAGUAACUUGAGGUGUCAACAUUCUAUUGGCCAAGUCUAUUGUGACAUUUAUUCACCAUUACCUGAUCCUAAGGUCUUUGUGAGACGCAGAGUGGGUGAACGACUGAAGCAUGGCGGAGGUGUGAUGGUGUCUGGCUGCUAUUGAGGUGGAAAAUGGAACCAUACCCAGGAACUAGGAACUUUUCCAGGAUCCAGGGUCUAGAACCAGGAACCAGGAAAUACAUUUUACCCCCAAAACAGUCCCUGCUCGGGAGGAUCACGAUGGGUUGGUGCAACAGGACCACAGUGGCCUACAUCAAUCGCCAAGGGGGAGUCAGCUCUCCUCUACUCAACCUGCGCUCGUUGAAGGCCUCCCAUAUUCCGAGUCAACUCAAUGUGGGAAGAGACCUCAUGUCCCGAGGAGGUCCUCAGCACGAUUCAGGGUGCCUGGGCUGUAUCUACUUCUAAGGUGUAUGUGGGGGAAUGGAACGUCUUUUCGCUAUGGUGCAAGGGCCAUUCUAUAGACCCUGUGUGCUGUGAGGUGGGUUGAAUUCUCAACCUAAAGUCAUCCCCCAUUGUUAAGGACUAGAACAAUCUUGAUGUUGAUGCGUGGAAUAUGCAUGAAAGUUGUGAUUUUGGUUUUGGCUGACCGCCACUAUUUGGUGUAACAUAGAUAUGCAUCAAAGUUGGAAAGAUUCCCUUAACUUUAGGAGGUUAAUUGAAUCAUGAUGUUUAUGUUGUCACGAAGUACUUUGGCCAUUGCCUGAGGAAAUGUACAUUUUGAUAUGCUAAUUUGGGAGUUGUUUCACUGAGUAAGACAACUCUGUCAAUAGGUUUUAUGGGUUAUAAUUCCUUGACACGAGCGACUGUGUGGCACAUUUGUUGUUUUUUGAUUUUGUUUGUGG
Long non-coding RNA from Esox lucius (northern pike), 1180 nucleotides. The record is from Ensembl. Lineage: Eukaryota; Metazoa; Chordata; Actinopteri; Esociformes; Esocidae.